This 467-nucleotide ribosomal RNA is filed under the name uncultured bacterium. RNAcentral's name for it is "partial 16S ribosomal RNA". It matches the Rfam family "Bacterial small subunit ribosomal RNA", at positions 28 to 507 of the family's 1533-position model. The record is from RNAcentral.
GACGAACGCUGGCGGCGUGCUUAACACAUGCAAGUCGAACGGAAAGGCUCCAGCUUGCUGGUGUACUCGAGUGGCGAACGGGUGAGUAACACGUGGGUAAUCUGCCCUGCACUCUGGGAUAAGCCUGGGAAACUGGGUCUAAUACUGGAUAUGACCUUUCUCCUUAUGGGGUUUGGUGGAAAGUUUUUCGGUGUAGGAUGAGCCCGCGGCCUAUCAGCUUGUUGGUGGGGUGAUGGCCUACCAAGGCGACGACGGGUAGCCGGCCUGAGAGGGUGAUCGGCCACAUUGGUACUGAGAGACGGCCCAGACUCCUACGGGAGGCAGCAGUGGGGAAUAUUGCACAAUGGGCGGAAGCCUGAUGCAGCGACGCCGCGUGAGGGAUGACGGCCUUCGGGUUGUAAACCUCUUUCAGCAGGGACGAAGCGUAAGUGACGGUACCUGCAGAAGAAGCACCGGCUAACUAUGUG